UCUCCGUUGGUGAACCAGCGGAGGGAUCAUUAAAGAGUGUAAAAACUCCCAACCCAUGUUUACCUACCUUCCCUGGAGCCUUCGGGCUUCAGGCGUUGCUUCGGUCCUCCUCGGAGGGCCGGAGGUACCAAACUUGAUUUUCAAAAGUAUCUCUGAGGCCUAUUGGCAACUAUAACAACUUUUAACAACGGAUCUCUUGGCUCCAGCAUCGAUGAAGAACGCAGC
Molecule: unclassified non-coding RNA, 225 nt
Filed under: uncultured fungus
Lineage: Eukaryota; Fungi
Description: sequence contains ITS1, 5.8S rRNA gene
Rfam family: 5.8S ribosomal RNA (bases 177-225)
Source: RNAcentral